Lethenteron reissneri (Far Eastern brook lamprey) is the source of this 4314-nucleotide long non-coding RNA. RefSeq lists it as uncharacterized. The record is from RefSeq and is a predicted model, not a curated record. NCBI's taxonomy places the organism in Eukaryota, Metazoa, Chordata, Hyperoartia, Petromyzontiformes, Petromyzontidae.
GUGUGCGGCAAGUCCUCGCUUCAUGCGUUGCGGUGUUUACACUGGAAUGCGUUUUCGCUGUAAUGCUCGAUUCCUUCCAUUAGGGACACCGUUAUACCGCUGAACGCGCGCCUUUAUACCGCGGAACGCGCGUGCCGAUAUAACACGGAACGCGUGCUGUUAUGAUGUAGAACGCGCGUCGUUAUGAGGCGGAAUGCGCCCACCCCGUUGUACCACGGGACGCGCGCCAUUACAAUGCGGUUUCUGACCGGUCAACGACAGACUACUUUCUUCAGCUGCGUCGCUCAGCGGUACAGUGAUACAGUACGUGGAAUGAUACAGUAACACGGUGUGUUGCCCUCCAGCAAUCUCGCAGUGUGUGGGUAGUAGUACAUCGUCUCUCGCCAAACUUUACCGUUGCAUUAUUUAUGGGGAAAUCGUUUUUUUCGAUUACCACGGCACUUUUCAGCAAUGCAUCUACUACUGCGUUAAACGAGGUCUGCUUGUCGCCCUCCUCUUCCUCCAUUGAAGGAGUGCAGACUACAGUGGCUUACUGCGUGGUCAGUCGUUUGGCUUGCAUGGCAUGAGUGCACAUUACAGCAGAACGGGAACGGUGCAGCGAGCACGGAGCAGUAACAGGAAUGAAGAUAGAAACCCGUCACAACCUCAGCGGCGAACACCGACCGAGCAAAGUAAAUCGCCACCGCGUGCACAUUAUAAGUGCGACCGUGCGCAACGAACCAUGUAAGAAAGGGCUGACGCAUAUGGGGGGACGCUUUCACCCUUCGUUGGGAAAGCGAUGAAGGUGGCACCGCGGCGGCUGUGGAGUCCACCGGCUGUCCUCGGGGUGUCAAAAACACGCGGCAGGAUCUACACCGCGAUCAUCUCAAGAGAAACCAUGAGCGUCCGCGGCUCCUGCGAGCGCCGACUUCUCCCGUGACCCGCCCUGCCACCAUCGUCGCUGGGGAUCGUCAGCGAGCGUGAGAUUACGAAUCGGGAGAAUUCUGCCAAGGGAAUUUGGGGAAUGUUUGCGCCGGACCUGGACGCCACUGCAAGUUCCCAGGGCAGGCUCCGUGAAUAGCGGCACCCGGCGGGGCUUCCACUGCGGUGGAUCGCAAGCAAAGCAAAGCCCCCGCUCCUCAAAAUGACGCGUUUUGCAAAUGUUUGCAAAGAAAUUAUAUAAACAACUUUUGUCGAGUUGUGGAGGAGUUCAUCGGAGCACUCAGCACAAUCUCCGUGGGACAUCCCGAGUCAGUGGUGACAUUUCCACAUUCCUGUGGCAGGGAACCAGUCCAUCCAAAGGACACAACUGUUGUCCCACCAAGUGACGCAGCAGCCUUAACUAGGAGGUGUGCCGAUUUUACCGGCCUCUGAGUGAUGAUGGUGGUGAUGAUGAUGUUUGAAGAUGAAGCUUAUGCUGAUGCGUCUAAUGAUAUUGCUGCUGAUGGUGAUGGUCGUUAUCAUGAUGUUAAUGACGAUUAUGAUAAGAUUGAUGAUGAAGCUAAUACUCAGUUUUAACACUCGAAUUGUAAAUGUUGUGGGUUUUACUCUCCAACACACCGGUGUGCUGUACCAGCAACGAAUUGGCACGUUUUGUUACGUGACAAACUUGUACUAAUUGGCUGUAUCGGGUGGUGGCGGAUUUAACGACACAUUCAUAUUUACGUAAUCUAACCCAAAAACCUCUAUAUGGAGAAGCUCAAUCUUGAUUUGAAGCUUUCGUGACUGCAGGAAUCCAUACUCUUUGGUUCUUUCGGUAAAGUCACGUAGGUAGAAACAUAAAAUAAAAUACAACAAAAAAUAAUAAAUCACGACGACAGUGGAACUGAUGAACCAGCAGUUCCACUGCUGGAUGAUUUUUUCCGCCUGAGGACGACAGCUUGUGUUGCGAUCGAAACGUCGUGAUAUUAUUUUUUGUUUUAUUUUAUUUUUCUACCUACGUGACUUUACCGAAAGAACCAAAUGGUAUGGAGAAGCUGAUACUGUUACUACUUUUGCCGAGGAAGCUGCUGAUGCUGAUGAUGCUGCUGUUACUGAACUGAGUUGACCCCGGCCGGAAUAUUUGACUCGCAGUCGUCCCGUCCGUACGCCCUUUUGCUGCUGCUUUUCCAACCGAUUCAUAUCCUUUGUGCUUACAGAACAACACAAUGUGGAAAUGUAUAUUUUUUUGGUAUAUAUAUUUUUCAUACUUGUUUAAAAUAAGCACAAACACAAGAGUUGUUAUGUGUUUACGUUGGCUUUGCCUCUUAUUUAUUGUUUUAAGAGACAGAGAGACAGAGAGGAGUCUUCUCCUCCUGCGGGGAUAGCUGUUACAACGGCACGCGACGCUCGCGCGCAAAACCCGAAACGCGAUCGCGGCAUCCCGGAGGAGAUUCGUUGAAACAAUUUAGCAAAGAGGAGGAGGAGGAGGGGGGCCGUGGGCGGCGGGUCCCAGCCAGGGGCGGCACGCCAGGGGCUUGCCGCGUGGUUUCGGAUGCCACGUGGUGGUUAUUUAAAGAGGGAACUGCAGGGAGGGGGGGGGGCUACGUGCCGAGUACCCCUCCCCCAAGAAUAACCCAUUCUCCCCCCACGAAUAAAGCUCCCCCUUUCCCCAAGAAUAACUACCCCUCCCCCCACUAAUAACGCCCCCCUCUCCCCACUAAUAACACCCUCCUCCACUGCUCUCCUCAUAACGCCUCUCCCCCCCUCCCUCACUGUUGUGCAAUCGGCUAGAAUUCCCGACCUACUGAAAACACGAAUGAAUAUGCGCUUUGUGGAAACAUAAUAGUUUUUUUAUUACUCACAGAUUGUGUGAAUUGCCAUCAAUUAAAAUCUGCUAUUUGAGACAGUGUGCAAUUGUGGGUCAAAUGGUAAUAUAUAUUGUCUAUAUAUCCAUACUGCAAACAUUUGGAGGAGAUUGUGACUUUGGGGGUGAAUGCCAAUGUCAGGACACUGAGCCACAACCAGCUGGGAUCCUUGAAAGAAAUCACCACCACCACCCACCACCACCAGUCGUCUUUUUAUCUUGUUCGUUGUAACGUUCUGUAACGUUCUGACACCGUGCCCCUACUAAGCAUCUGCGAGAAAGAGCUUCAUAGCUCAUCGGAUUGCUCCAGGAUAAAUAAAGAUUCCAAUUCUGAUCUCUCAGUCCCGUGAUGCACACGUCCAGACAGCACCUGCACACGAGGCGAUUCCUAUCGCUCUAUCUCUGCUGCUCUCGGAUGCGUUCCCUCUUUUGUACGUAUAUAUCCAUCUAACUUCUUUCGCACCAUACGUAUACAACCGUGCUAAUCAGAGAUGUGGUGAAAGGACAAACUAAAUACAAAAGGCAGCUUCAAAGAAAUUAGUUCUCAACCUAGAUGAUAAAAAAGCGCAGUGUUUCCAAUUGUCUUCCUAAUAUCGGAAAGGAGAGCGUUCCAGAUGGCCGCAGAAGCUCAUCUGAAAGCGCUGCGCGAUGCGGUAACCAUUUUUGUUCGAUGACCAGCCAGGAAGCCGCUGUUGCUGUGAAGACGACCGGAGUUUGCGUGAUGGUGGUUUGUGCUCUUUGACGAGAUCAGCCAACGCAUCGUGGUCCACUUGUGGCCCAGCACUGUGUGGGUGUAAUCAGCGCGACGACUCUGGCCUUCGUCUUGUGCAUCUGAGAUCCUCCCCUGGAGCGAGGUGCUCUAGCCCAAGCCCACUCCGGUCUCCGUCUCGCCACAUACAACAAAUAAAAUAAAAGGAUCCUUUGCCAAUCCAUCAUCGGUGCCACGGCCUUCUGGGAGCACAUCACUUCAGCAGCGUUGACAUUGAGUGCAAGCAAAACCCUGGACCGGUUUCGACGUGCAGUGCUUCGUCGGCAGUCAAGCUGGUUGAGAUCAGGCCCUGGGACCGAUUGGUUGCGUUAAUAAAAGCAGAGAUAUCUCUCCCUCCCCGGUUUACGCGGGGGGGGGGGGGAUGCGUUCCUGAAAUGUGCGACGACGAAUAUCGAGACGAUGUCAAUCGAAGCGGUUUUAACACGGGUAGUGGUAGGUAGUGGUAGGUGGUGGUGAAGGCUGAGAGGCGACGGAUAACGAGAAAGGAGGGGACAAUGCUUUCAGCGACGUUCAGAGCGUGUGUGGUGGUUGAGGCGAUACUAAAGCGAUGACGCAUUUGCGAAAAUACGUAAAAGGGGAGAGACGUACAUUGGGGUGACGCUGUACUUUUAUUUUACGGCGAGGGAAGGGAUAUGUGAAUGAGUCUGUAUCGUCUGCUUAUCUAUUUUUCAAAUGCGAAUUUAAGUACUGUAAUUGUUUCCUGAGAUUAUUUGCUUUUAUUCACUUUAUAUUUUUAAUGUUUAACAUCUUGUUUAUGAGCUCUCGCUGCCGUGUCUGUCGA